GCCAGUUGUCCCCGGCCCGGCUGCGGCCCCCGUGCGCGCUCGUGCUCUCGCUUCGGCCCCGGCGGGGUGCGGCCCUUGAGCCAGGCUCCCUGGCGCGCCGGCGGCCGGGGACGCGGUAGGAACGCUUCGUUCGCCCGCGCGGCACGCAGGGCGGGGAGUGCGGCACGGCCCUGCCCGCACAGGGCCCUCGGUCCAGGGCGGGAGGCCCGGGUGAGUCAGAACGUCCAGCACAUCAGACGAGUGUCAAGGCGAGGCCAAAGCAGGGAGGGCAUCAGCCGGGCGGCUAGGGAGCGCCCCUGACAAGGUGCCAAAAAGUGGAAACCCCCCAAGUGUACACCAGCUGAUGGAUGGGUAAGCACAGUGCGGUCCAUCAUACAAUGGAAUACGAUUCAGCUGUAAAAAGGGAUGAAGUGCUGAGGCGCGCUGCAAUGUGGAUGGACCCUGAAAACGAGCUUCAGUGAACAAAGCCAGAUACGGAAGGACACAGCAUAUGAAUCCAUUGCUAAGAAAUGUCCAGAACCGGAAAUACGUAGACAAAGAGUAGAGUAGUUGCAGGGGCUUGGAUGUGGGGACUGGAGAGUAGCUGUUGGUGGUGAUGUAAAUGUUCUAAAAUUGAUCGUGAUGGUAGCACAACAUUGUGACUAUACUGAAAACCAUUGGAUCGUAUACUUUUAAGAUGGUGAAUUGCAUGUUAUGUGGAUUAUAUCUCAAUAAAGCUCUUAUUAAAAAAAUA
Molecule: non-coding RNA, 733 nt
Organism: Manis javanica (Malayan pangolin)
Lineage: Eukaryota; Metazoa; Chordata; Mammalia; Pholidota; Manidae
Source: RefSeq, a predicted model, not a curated record